This 2427-nucleotide long non-coding RNA is filed under the name Homo sapiens (human). RNAcentral describes it as "HSALNT0214180". Lineage: Eukaryota; Metazoa; Chordata; Mammalia; Primates; Hominidae. The record is from RNAcentral.
UUCUGGGUCCCCUUCCACCACGCAGAAGCUUUACUUUCGCUUUCACUUUACUUUUGCUUUCACUUUAACAAAUCUUGCAGCCGCACACUCUUUGGGUCCGCCCGUUUCUCUAAUCAAGUUGUAACACUCGCUGCUGUGGUCCACAGCUUCAUUCCUUGAAGCCCGUGAGACACGAACGCUUCCAUUGAGAAAAACCUUCCAUCAGAAGAAGACUUCUCGUCUCAGUGGGACUGCUGAGUUGAAUGAAAAUGAACAGGACUAUUCUUCCUCAAACAAAGAGAUCGUGUGAUGAAGACUCACCAGAGCUGUUCUCUAUAAGCUUGAAGAGCAAUGGUAUCAGGUGCUUUUUUUUCUGAAGCUUUGGUAGUGUAACUGUAAGAGUCCUGGAAUUGGAAAAGCAAAUCCAGAAGUUGAGUUCCAUGACUUUUUUGCUGUUUGCCUUUGGACUUGCAUCAUUUAUAUUUUUAAUUCAUCGAGGAUGAGAAAAUUGAUUAACACAAAAUCUUUUCAUGUCUUUUCUGAUGAGAGACUAGCUGAAUCCAAGAAGAGAAGCCCUUGAAGAGUGUAUUCUAUUCUAGACAAGCAUUCACACAUUGGCUUCUUUGGUGCCAGGUAAUUAGAAUUUGUAAUUUGGUCUUAAUUAAACUGCAGACUACCCAAAGGCCUUGAUCAGUGGCCUUUUGACUGCCUCCACCGUUUGGAGGAAACAAACAAAACACAAAUUAGCCUUUAAAAAUAUGCCCAUUGAUUUCUCCUCAUCUCCCCAAACAUAUACAACCCCACCAGAUAUAUAUUUAUAUUGGCUAUAAAAAUAUGCCCAUUGAUUUCUCCUCAUCUCCCCAAACAUAUACAACCCCACCAGAUAUAUAUUUAUAUUGGGUAUAAUGUCAACAUAUAUCAAAUGUGCCAAUUAAACACAGAGCUCCUCUAAACUACCAAGCAUGUUAUUAUUAUUAUUUUAAUUUUUAAAACAUUUCUAACUUAACAGAAACAUUGGCCGGGCAGCACUAAUUGUAUCAUUCCUAUGUACUACCAACUUCUCACCAGUAUUGAACUUGAUCUUCAAAACUCUUCCCAGAUAGGGCUAUUUUUCCACUGACUCUAUUGUUAUUCCUUCCCAUUUUCCCUCCUCUGUUUUUGAUGCUUUUUAUUUUGGUUAGCAUGUUUCUGAUCAGCAUGAAAACUGCGCAGGAGCUUUUCUGUCUUGCAGAGCUAGUUAAUGAGAUUGUUGCUGCCUUCAGAUUCUAUAAAGGACUUCUCCAAUAUUGGAUUAAAGAAUGAAGAAAGGAUCAAAUUGAGACAUCCAGGGGGGAAGAGUUCCCUGGCAAAACUCCAAUCUGCCUGAGCACUGAGGUGGAGCCACAGAAGUCCGGGUCAUUUGCACCUGGGAGGAGCCUGGCCCCUCCUCUUCCUGUGUGGAAUCUGGGAUUUAAUCUGUGAGGAGGGAAGGCCAAGGGCAGGAAGCACAGGCUCUCACUUCACUAAGAGUCUCUGUUUCCCCUUUUUUUCCUUUAUGCCUAAUUAAUAAAUCCCAUUUUUCUCACUCUUCAAAUAGUCUUCAAGCCUAAAUUUUCAUGACCAUGGAACAAGGACCCCAUCUUUAGCUGAACUAAGGAAAAGUCCUGCAACAAAAUUCUUUGCUAAAAAUACAUGAGGUUGCCUUUUCCUUCUUAAUCUUAAAAGAAAUAUAUUUCAAUGGUUAACGUUUUAGUAAUUCAAAAAUUAUCAAGCAUUUGUUCACAACCAUAAGAUGUGCAUUGUUUUAUAUUCCUACUUAAUAAUAGACUAUAAUUGUCUAAUUAGACUGCCGAUGUUGAUCUUUGUGGCUCAUUGCAUUGAUUAUAAGCAGUGUUUUGGGUUUGUGUGUGUGUGUCAAAUUUAGGGUUUUUUUGGUAUGGCUGCUGGUUGGUGUAGCCUGUAUCCAGUAUCCUGUAUUAAUUCUAAUAUUUGCAUUUUGAACAUAUUUACAAGUUGCUAAAAUAGCAAAGCUUCGAGAUGAGCCUGGCUGAUAUGGCAAAACCCCGUCUCUACUAAAAAUACAAAAAUUAGCCUGGUGUGGUGGUGCAUGCCUGUAAUCCCAGCUACUUGGAAGUCUGAGGCAGGAGAAUCUCUUGAACCCAGAAGGUGGAGGUUGCAGUGGGCCAAGAUCGCACCACUGCACUCCAGCCUCGGUGAUAGAGCGAGACUACGUCUCAAAAAUAAAAUAAAAUAAAAUAAAAUAAAAAUAGCAAAGCUAUGUAUGGUUUCUCUGAGUUUUGUAAUUUAUCAUUGUUAACUGCAGAAAUUUAUUAUAUGAGACAUAUUAUAUGAGACAUAUAAGUGAAUUUGGAUUGGGUUUAAUUUUAUAUUUUUGAAUAUAGUUCUUCAAGAUAAAUUUUAUCUUAGACCUCAAGAAAUAAAAAUAAAAUAAAUUAGAUAUACAAACGA